GAUGAACGCUGGCGGCGUGCCUAAUACAUGCAAGUCGAGCGAAUGGAUUAAGAGCUUGCUCUUAUGAAGUUAGCGGCGGACGGGUGAGUAACACGUGGGUAACCUGCCCAUAAGACUGGAUAACUCCGGGAAACCGGGGCUAAUACCGGAUAACAUUUUGAACCGCAUGGUUCGAAAUUGAAAGGCGGCUUCGGCUGUCACUUAUGGAUGGACCCGCGUCGCAUUAGCUAGUUGGUGAGGUAACGGCUCACCAAGGCAACGAUGCGGAGCCGACCUGAGAGGGUGAUCGGCCACACUGGGACUGAGACACGGCCCAGACUCCUACGGGAGGCAGCAGUAGGGAAUCUUCCGCAAUGGACGAAAGUCUGACGGAGCAACGCCGCGUGAGUGAUGAAGGCUUUCGGGUCGUAAAACUCUGUUGUAGGGAAGAACAAGUGCUAGUUGAAUAAGCUGACACCUUGACGGUACCUAACCAGAAAGCCACGGCUAACUACGUGCCAGCAGCCGCGGUAA
This 513-nucleotide ribosomal RNA is filed under the name uncultured bacterium. RNAcentral describes it as "partial 16S ribosomal RNA". It matches the Rfam family "Bacterial small subunit ribosomal RNA", at positions 28 to 523 of the family's 1533-position model. The record is from RNAcentral.